Molecule: long non-coding RNA, 340 nt
Filed under: Phoenix dactylifera (date palm)
Lineage: Eukaryota; Viridiplantae; Streptophyta; Magnoliopsida; Arecales; Arecaceae
Description: long non-coding RNA (PDAC_LNC010155)
Source: RNAcentral
GCUUACGCAUGGGAUAGCCUCUACGAGCUUAUGCGUAGGAUAGCCUCCACGGGCUUACGCGUGGGAUAGCUGCCACGAGCUUAUGCGUGGGAUUUGUGCAGUCUUGGACUGGGUCAUGAACUUGGUUAGUCCAAAGCCAGAAGUGAAAAGUCUGAAAACUUGAGAAUCAGAGUAAUACGGGAAUGGAUCACAUAAUGUGAAAAAGGAUUUGUGUAUAUGUACUGAUUAUAUACACUUGUUGUUUGUUGAGCUUUUGAAAAGAUGAAAUGGCAUUUAUUUGAUGUUUUGAUUAUUUUAUUAUUAUUACUGUGUAUGGCUGUUGGGAUUCUUACUGGGCUGG